RNAcentral lists this ribosomal RNA (159 nucleotides) under Acaulospora cavernata. RNAcentral describes it as "5.8S ribosomal RNA". It matches the Rfam family "5.8S ribosomal RNA". Rfam says of the family: 5.8S ribosomal RNA (5.8S rRNA) is a component of the large subunit of the eukaryotic ribosome. It is transcribed by RNA polymerase I as part of the 45S precursor that also contains 18S and 28S rRNA. Lineage: Eukaryota; Fungi; Glomeromycota; Glomeromycetes; Diversisporales; Acaulosporaceae. The record is from RNAcentral.
UAACUUUCAACAACGGAUCUCUUGGCUCUUGCAUCGAUGAAGAACGCAGCGAAAUGCGAUAAGUAAUGUGAAUUGCAGAAUUCCGUGAAUCAUCAAAUCUUUGAACGCAAAUUGCACUCUUUGGUAUUCCGAGGAGUAUGCUUGUUUGAGGGUUGUUCC